RNAcentral lists this ribosomal RNA (182 nucleotides) under uncultured bacterium. RNAcentral's name for it is "partial 16S ribosomal RNA". It matches the Rfam family "Bacterial small subunit ribosomal RNA", at positions 354 to 525 of the family's 1533-position model. The record is from RNAcentral.
GGGUGGAAUAUUGGGACAAUGGGCGCAAGCCUGAUCCAGCCAUGCCGCGUGUGUGAAGAAGGCCUUAUGGUUGUAAAGCACUUUAAGCGAGGAGGAGGCUACUUUAGUUAAUACCUAGAGAUAGUGGACGUUACUCGCAGAAUAAGCACCGGCUAACUCUGUGCCAGCAGCCGCGGUAAUUA